CCUACGGGUGGCAGCAGUGAGGAAUAUUGGUCAAUGGGCGAGAGCCUGAACCAGCCAAGUCGCGUGAGGGAAGACGGUCCUAUGGAUUGUAAACCUCUUUUGUCGGGGAGCAAAAAGCGGUACGUGUACCGCGUUGAGUGUACCCGGAGAAAAAGCAUCGGCUAACUCCGUGCCAGCAGCCGCGGUAAUACGGAGGAUGCGAGCGUUAUCCGGAUUUAUUGGGUUUAAAGGGUGCGCAGGCGGCGAGUUAAGUCAGCGGUAAAAUUUCGGGGCUCAACCCCGACGAGCCGUUGAAACUGGCGUGCUAGAGUGGGCGAGAAGUAUGCGGAAUGCGUGGUGUAGCGGUGAAAUGCAUAGAUAUCGCGCAGAACUCCGAUUGCGAAGGCAGCAUGCCGGCGCCCAACUGACGCUGAGGCACGAAAGCGUGGGUAUCGAACAGGAUUAGAUACCCUUGUAGUC
This 459-nucleotide ribosomal RNA is filed under the name uncultured bacterium. RNAcentral describes it as "partial 16S ribosomal RNA". It matches the Rfam family "Bacterial small subunit ribosomal RNA", at positions 338 to 795 of the family's 1533-position model. The record is from RNAcentral.